AUUGAACGCUGGCGGCAGGCCUAACACAUGCAAGUCGAACGGUAACAGGAAGCAGCUUGCUGCUUCGCUGACGAGUGGCGGACGGGUGAGUAAUGUCUGGGAAACUGCCCGAUGGAGGGGGAUAACUACUGGAAACGGUAGCUAAUACCGCAUAACGUCCCAAGACCAAAGAGGGGGACCUUAGGGCCCCUUGCCAUCGGAUAUGCCCAGAUGGGAUUAGCGAGUAGGUGGGGUAACGGCUCACCUAGGCGACGAUCCCUAGCUGGUCUGAGAGGAUGACCAGCCACACUGGAACUGAGACACGGUCCAGACUCCUACGGGAGGCAGCAGUGGGGAAUAUUGCACAAUGGGUGCAAGCCUGAUGCAGCCAUGCCGCGUGUAUGAAGAAGGCCUUCGGGUUGUAAAGUACUUUCAGCGGGGAGGAAGGGAGUAAAGUUAAUACCUUGGCUCAUUGACGUUACCCGCAGAAGAAGCACCGGCUAACUCCGUG
This 490-nucleotide ribosomal RNA is filed under the name uncultured bacterium. Its description in RNAcentral is "partial 16S ribosomal RNA". It matches the Rfam family "Bacterial small subunit ribosomal RNA", at positions 30 to 507 of the family's 1533-position model. The record is from RNAcentral.